RNAcentral lists this ribosomal RNA (498 nucleotides) under uncultured bacterium. Its description in RNAcentral is "partial 16S ribosomal RNA". It matches the Rfam family "Bacterial small subunit ribosomal RNA", at positions 28 to 507 of the family's 1533-position model. The record is from RNAcentral.
GACGAACGCUGGCGGCGUGCCUAAUACAUGCAAGUCGAACGAGAGCGACCGGUUCUUGCACUGGUCACUCUAGUGGCGCACGGGUGAGUAACACGUGUGUAACCUGCUCAUCAUAGGGGUAUAACAUCCGGAAACGGAUGCUAACACCGCAUAGGUCUUCGAUCCGCAUGGCUUGAAGGGGAGAAGAGGCGCAAGCUGCUGCUGAUGGAUGUACUCGCGUUGCAUGUGCUAGUUGGUGAGGUAACGGCUCACCAAGGCCGUGAUGCAGAGACGAAGUGAGGGGGUGAUCGGCGACAUUGGAACGGAGACAGGGACAAAAGUCCUACGGUAGGCAGCAGUAGGGAAUGUUACGCAACGGAGGGAAGUAUGGCGGAGCAAGGCCGCGUGAGUGAAGAAGGUGUUCGGAUCGUAAAGCUCUGUUGUUAGAGAAGAACAAGUGCUAGCGUAACUGUUAGCGGCUUGACGGUAUCUAAUAAGAAAGCAACGGCUAACUACGUG